RNAcentral lists this ribosomal RNA (931 nucleotides) under uncultured Porphyromonas sp. RNAcentral's name for it is "bacterial SSU rRNA". It matches the Rfam family "Bacterial small subunit ribosomal RNA", at positions 65 to 988 of the family's 1533-position model. Lineage: Bacteria; Pseudomonadati; Bacteroidota; Bacteroidia; Bacteroidales; Porphyromonadaceae. The record is from RNAcentral.
AGGGGCAGCAUGGUCUUAGCUUGCUAAGACUGAUGGCGACCGGCGCACGGGUGCGUAACGCGUAUGCAACUUGCCUCACAGAGGGGGAUAACCCGUCGAAAGACGGACUAAUACCGCGUACACUUGGAUUAGGGCAUCCUAAACCAAGGAAAUGAAUUUCGCUGUGAGAUAGGCAUGCGUCCCAUUAGCUAGUUGGUGAGGUAACGGCUCACCAAGGCGACGAUGGGUAGGGGAACUGAGAGGUUGAACCCCCACACUGGUACUGAGACACGGACCAGACUCCUACGGGAGGCAGCAGUGAGGAAUAUUGGUCAAUGGGCGAGAGCCUGAACCAGCCAAGUCGCGUGAAGGAUGACUGUCUUAUGGAUUGUAAACUUCUUUUAUACGGGAAUAACAAGAGCUACGUGUAGCUCCCUGCAUGUACCGUAUGAAUAAGCAUCGGCUAACUCCGUGCCAGCAGCCGCGGUAAUACGGAGGAUGCGAGCGUUAUCCGGAUUUAUUGGGUUUAAAGGGUGCGUAGGCGGCCUGUUAAGUCAGCGGUGAAAUCUAGGAGCUUAACUCCUAAAUUGCCAUUGAAACUGGCGGGCUUGAGUGUAGAUGAGGUAGGCGGAAUGCGUGGUGUAGCGGUGGAAUGCAUAGAUAUCACGCAGAACUCCGAUUGCGAAGGCAGCUUACUAAGGUACAACUGACGCUGAAGCACGAAAGCGUGGGUAUCAAACAGGAUUAGAUACCCUGGUAGUCCACGCAGUAAACGAUGAUAACUGGGCGUAUGCGAUAUACAGUAUGCUCCUAAGCGAAAGCGUUAAGUUAUCCACCUGGGGAGUACGCCGGCAACGGUGAAACUCAAAGGAAUUGACGGGGGCCCGCACAAGCGGAGGAACAUGUGGUUUAAUUCGAUGAUACGCGAGGAACCUUACCCGGGAUUGAAAUG